AGUGAACGCUGGCGGUAGGCCUAACACAUGCAAGUCGAACGGCAGCACAGUAAGAGCUUGCUCUUAGGGGUGGCGAGUGGCGGACGGGUGCGGAAUACAUCGGAAUCUACUUUUUCGUGGGGGAUAAAGAAGGGAAACUUACGGUAAUACCGGAUACGACCUACGGGAGAAAGCAGGGGAUCUUCGUACCUUGGGCGAUUGAAUGAGCCGAUGUCGGAUUGGUUAGGUGGAGGGGUAAGGGCCCACUAAGGCGACGAUCCGUAGCUGGUCUGCGAGGAGGAUCGUCCAUACUGGAACUGGAACACCGUCCAUACUCCUACGGGAAGCAGCAGUGGGGAAUAUUGGACAAUAGGCGCAAGCCUGAUCCAGCCAUACGGCGUAGGUGAAGAAGGCCUUCGGGUUGGAAAGCCCUUUUGUUGGGAAAGAAAAGCAUCAGGUUAAUACGCCGAUGUAAUGACGGUACCCAAAGAAUAAGCACCGGCUAACUUCGUG
Molecule: ribosomal RNA, 492 nt
Filed under: uncultured bacterium
Lineage: Bacteria
Description: partial 16S ribosomal RNA
Rfam family: Bacterial small subunit ribosomal RNA
Source: RNAcentral